RNAcentral lists this unclassified non-coding RNA (223 nucleotides) under uncultured fungus. RNAcentral describes it as "sequence contains ITS2". The record is from RNAcentral. Lineage: Eukaryota; Fungi.
AACGCAUAUUGCGCCCGCCGGCAUUCCGGCAGGCAUGCCUAUUCGAGUGUCGUUUCAACACUCACUUUGUGAUGUUAGUAAUCCUCAGGGUUACUGAAAAACAGUGGCUGUAUAGCUCUAUUUCACUACUGGAUAACUUUUUUAGUUUUGAGUAUAGAGUAUCACAUGCCCUAUCAAUUCCACUUUUGACCUCGAAUUAGGUAGGAAUACCCGCUGAACUUAA